RNAcentral lists this ribosomal RNA (796 nucleotides) under uncultured haloarchaeon. RNAcentral describes it as "bacterial SSU rRNA". It matches the Rfam family "Archaeal small subunit ribosomal RNA", at positions 85 to 879 of the family's 1478-position model. The record is from RNAcentral. Lineage: Archaea; Methanobacteriati; Methanobacteriota; Halobacteria; Halobacteriales; Halobacteriaceae.
ACGGCUCAGUAACACGUGGCCAAGCUACCCUGCAGACACGGACAACCUCGGGAAACUGAGGCUAAUCCGCGAUACCGAUCCCAGGCUGGAACAGCCGGGAUCAUCAAACGCUCCGGCGCUGCAGGAUGCGGCUGCGGCCGAUUAGGUAGACGGUGGGGUAACGGCCCACCGUGCCGAUAAUCGGUACGGGUUGUGAGAGCAAGAGCCCGGAGACGGAAUCUGAGACAAGAUUCCGGGCCCUACGGGGCGCAGCAGGCGCGAAACCUUUACACUGCACGCAAGUGCGAUAAGGGGACUCCGAGUGCGAGGGCAUAUAGUCCUCGCUUUUGAGAACCGUAAGGCGGUUCUCGAAUAAGAGCUGGGCAAGACCGGUGCCAGCCGCCGCGGUAAUACCGGCAGCUCAAGUGAUGGCCAAUCUUAUUGGGCCUAAAGCGUCCGUAGCUGGCCGUGAAAGUUCGUCGGGAAAUCCAUCCGCUCAACGGAUGGGCGUCCGGCGAAAACUUCACGGCUUGGGACCGGAAGGCUCGAGGGGUACGUCUGGGGUAGGAGUGAAAUCCUGUAAUCCUGGACGGACCGCCGAUGGCGAAAGCACCUCGAGAAGACGGAUCCGACAGUGAGGGACGAAAGCUAGGGUCUCGAACCGGAUUAGAUACCCGGGUAGUCCUAGCCGUAAACAAUGUUCACUAGGUGUGGCACAGGCUACGAGCCUGUGCUGUGCCGUAGGGAAGCCGAGAAGUGAACCGCCUGGGAAGUACGUCCGCAAGGAUGAAACUUAAAGGAAUUGGCGGGGGAGCAC